CCGUACACAAAAGCGCAUGUGCUGUGAGCUCGAUGAGUAGGGCGGGACACGUGGUAUCCUGUCUGAAUAUGGGGGGACCAUCCUCCAAGGCUAAAUACUCCUGACUGACCGAUAGUGAACCAGUACCGUGAGGGAAAGGCGAAAAGAACCCCGGCGAGGGGAGUGAAAAAGAACCUGAAACCGUGUACGUACAAGCAGUGGGAGCACAGGUUUACCUGUGUGACUGCGUACCUUUUGUAUAAUGGGUCAGCGACUUAUAUUCUGUAGCAAGGUUAACCGUAUAGGGGAGCCGUAGGGAAACCGAGUCUUAACCGGGCGUUAAGUUGCAGGGUAUAGACCCGAAACCCGGUGAUCUAGCCAUGGGCAGGUUGAAGGUUGGGUAACACUAACUGGAGGACCGAACCGACUAAUGUUGAAAAAUUAGCGGAUGACCUGUGGCUGGGGGUGAAAGGCCAAUCAAACCGGGAGAUAGCUGGUUCUCCCCGAAAGCUAUUUAGGUAGCGCCUCGUGAAUUCAUCUCCGGGGGUAGAGCACUGUUUCGGCUAGGGGGCCAUCCCGGCUUACCAACCCGAUGCAAACUGCGAAUACCGGAGAAUGUUAUCACGGGAGACACACGGCGGGUGCUAACGUCCGUCGUGAAGAGGGAAACAACCCAGACCGCCAGCUAAGGUCCCAAAGUCAUGGUUAAGUGGGAAACGAUGUGGGAAGGCCCAGACAGCCAGGAUGUUGGCUUAGAAGCAGCCAUCAUUUAAAGAAAGCGUAAUAGCUCACUGGUCGAGUCGGCCUGCGCGGAAGAUGUAACGGGGCUAAACCAU
Molecule: ribosomal RNA, 815 nt
Filed under: Salmonella enterica
Lineage: Bacteria; Pseudomonadati; Pseudomonadota; Gammaproteobacteria; Enterobacterales; Enterobacteriaceae
Also listed under: 2 other names
Description: partial 23S ribosomal RNA
Rfam family: Bacterial large subunit ribosomal RNA
Source: RNAcentral